RNAcentral lists this long non-coding RNA (360 nucleotides) under Mus spretus (western wild mouse). Its description in RNAcentral is "lncRNA (ENSMSPG00010044514.1)". Lineage: Eukaryota; Metazoa; Chordata; Mammalia; Rodentia; Muridae. The record is from RNAcentral.
GCUCUCCCGGGUAACCCCGACCUCCCAGCACGCGGGACGGGCCCGCGCCAGGACUCACCCAGAGGCCGCAGAUCCCCAGAGUAACAGCUUGUCCUUCCUCGAGGCUCUUUGCUUAGGAAGAAAGCAAAGAAUAGAACCUGCAAGAUGGCGUAUUCCCUUCCAAUCCUGGCGGCCUGAGUUUGAUCCCAAGAUCCACACGGACUUGCCUCAGCAUGUGCACCCAAUCAUCCAGAGUCCUCAGAAGCAGCAAGAAACUGUGCCACCAGAGGUCUUUUGGUGCGUUUCUCUCUCUGGAGUCCUGACAAAUGCAGCUCAACUACGCAAUGUAAGGCGGACCAAUACAUGCAUGUUGUUAGCAAA